GACCUCGGAUCAGGUAGGGAUACCCGCUGAACUUAACCAUAUCAUA
Molecule: ribosomal RNA, 46 nt
Filed under: Monascus sp. SBL 2004a
Lineage: Eukaryota; Fungi; Ascomycota; Eurotiomycetes; Eurotiales; Aspergillaceae
Description: partial 28S ribosomal RNA
Source: RNAcentral